UGUAAUUUUUCAGGUGUGAAUUAUGAACAUGUGUAGGCGCCAAAGGUUCGAUUGGUAUGUUGCAACAUAAGCUGAAAAAAUCUGUGUUGUCAGUCAUCCGUAUUGUAAGCAAGGAUCAUGUAUUUUUAGGUUUUUUCACAACUCAUUUGUCAGGUAUGCAAAUUAUUGUAUCAUCUGAUAUAAUAGAUAUUAAGAUAAAGCAAGUGUGUGAUAAAGCAAGAUUUUAACCAAUAAUGAAUAUUUAAAUAAAAUAGCAGUUUUACUGCUAUUUUAUUUAAGUUUAAUUUUACAUUGCAAAAUUAUUAUCAAGACAUCAGGAAUGUUUCCACGAUGCAUUGCAAUUUGCCCCAAACUACUCACAAAGAUACAGGAAGCCAGAGUAUAUCCUCGCAAACUGAAGUUUUGUGCAUUGAGUUUUAAAAUGUCUCAAUUAUGUCAUUAUAUUGCAUCGUCAAUGAUAACGUUGAAAUUUUCUUUUAUAUACGGACUUUGUCGGACAGUCUUUGUGUCGAAACGCUAACAAAAUAAUGACGUCAGAUGAUGCAGUGCGUAACAGGUAUUCCGUUUAACUCAGCUGAGAUACCGUUAGGUCAAAAGGUGGCACAGUUGCGUGAAGCGUGAUUGAAAUAGGAUAAGACGUUCAAUCUGCGAAGAUUUAUUUUUAAAGCUACGUGAUUUCAUACAAAAACUAUUUUUAAAGGACUUAUACAACAACGACGUUGAUCAAAUAUUUCAUGAAAUUGAAGAAUUUAUAAGAUAUUUUCUAUGAAGUUUAAGAAAAGAAAGACGUUUCAAUGUAAGAAGAACAGUUUUAUCAUAUUAUUCAAAGAGCUAACACAUCAAUGUACACAAUUUCUGUUUCAAAUUGAUAUUGAUCUUAAUAUAA
This is a non-coding RNA of Linepithema humile (Argentine ant), 886 nucleotides long. NCBI's taxonomy places the organism in Eukaryota, Metazoa, Arthropoda, Insecta, Hymenoptera, Formicidae. The record is from RefSeq and is a predicted model, not a curated record.